AGUGAACGCUGGCGGCAGGCCUAACACAUGCAAGUCGAACGGCAACACAGUAAGAGCUUGCUCUUACGGGUGGCGAGUGGCGGACGGGUGAGGAAUACAUCAGCAUCUUCUUUUUCGUGGGGGAUAACGUAGGGACACUUACGCUAAUACCGCAUACGACCUACGGGUGAAAGCAGUGGAUCUUCGCACCUUGCGCGAUUGAAUGAGCCGAUGUCGGAUUAGCUAGUUGGCGGGGUAAAGGCCCACCAAGGCAACGAUACGUAGCUGGUCUGAGAGGAUGAUCGGCCACACUGGAACUGAGACACGGUCCAGACUCCUACGGGAGGCAGCAGUAGGGAAUAUUGGACAAUGGGCGCAAGCCUGAUCCAGCCACGCCGCGUGAGUGAAGAAGGUCUUCGGGUUGUAAAGCUCUUUUGUUGGGAAAGAAAAGCUGUAGGUGAAUACACCGCUGUCUUGACGGUACCCAAAGAAAAAGCACCGGCUAACUACGUG
Molecule: ribosomal RNA, 492 nt
Filed under: uncultured bacterium
Lineage: Bacteria
Description: partial 16S ribosomal RNA
Rfam family: Bacterial small subunit ribosomal RNA
Source: RNAcentral